This 422-nucleotide ribosomal RNA is filed under the name uncultured bacterium. RNAcentral describes it as "bacterial SSU rRNA". It matches the Rfam family "Bacterial small subunit ribosomal RNA", at positions 358 to 773 of the family's 1533-position model. The record is from RNAcentral.
AGAAUCUUUCACAAUGGGCGCAAGCCUGAUGGAGCGACGCCGCGUGGGGGAUGAAGGGCUUCGGCUCGUACACCCCUGUCAUUUGCGAACAAGGACGCCAACCUAAUACGUUGUCGUUUGAUAGUAGCGAACGAGGAAGGGACGGCUAACUCUGUGCCAGCAGCCGCGGUAAUACAGAGGUCCCAAGCGUUGUUCGGAUUCACUGGGCGUAAAGGGUGCGUAGGUGGUGGACUAAGUCGGGUGUGAAAUCUCCGGGCUCAACCCGGAGCCUGCGCCCGAAACUAGUUCGCUAGAGGAUGGGAGGGGAGACUGGAAUUCUCGGUGUAGCAGUGAAAUGCGUAGAUAUCGAGAGGAACACCGGUGGCGAAGGCGAGUCUCUGGACCAUUCCUGACACUGAGGCACGAAAGCCGGGGGAGCAAAC